AGCGGGAAGUAGUUUACUACUUCGCCGGCGAGCGGCGGACGGGUGAGUAAUGUCUGGGAAACUGCCUGAUGGAGGGGGAUAACUACUGGAAACGGUAGCUAAUACCGCAUAACGUCUUCGGACCAAAGUGGGGGACCUUCGGGCCUCACGCCAUCGGAUGUGCCCAGAUGGGAUUAGCUAGUAGGUGGGGUAAUGGCUCACCUAGGCGACGAUCCCUAGCUGGUCUGAGAGGAUGACCAGCCACACUGGAACUGAGACACGGUCCAGACUCCUACGGGAGGCAGCAGUGGGGAAUAUUGCACAAUGGGCGCAAGCCUGAUGCAGCCAUGCCGCGUGUGUGAAGAAGGCCUUCGGGUUGUAAAGCACUUUCAGCGAGGAGGAAGGCCAAUAACUUAAUAGGUUGUUGGAUUGACGUUACUCGCAGAAGAAGCACCGGCUAACUCCGUGCCAGCAGCCGCGGUAAUACGGAGGGUGCAAGCGUUAAACGGAAUUACUGGGCGUAAAGCGCACGCAGGCGGUUUGUUAAGUCAGAUGUGAAAUCCCCGCGCUUAACGUGGGAACUGCAUUUGAAACUGGCAAGCUAGAGUCUUGUAGAGGGGGGUAGAAUUCCAGGUGUAGCGGUGAAAUGCGUAGAGAUCUGGAGGAAUACCGGUGGCGAAGGCGGCCCCCUGGACAAAGACUGACGCUCAGGUGCGAAAGCGUGGGGAGCAAACA
RNAcentral lists this ribosomal RNA (714 nucleotides) under uncultured bacterium. Its description in RNAcentral is "bacterial SSU rRNA". It matches the Rfam family "Bacterial small subunit ribosomal RNA", at positions 65 to 774 of the family's 1533-position model. The record is from RNAcentral.